AACGGCAACCCUCCGCCUUCGAUCCGACCCGAUCGACCCCCGCUCCGGCGUAUCGCUCCCGCCGCCGCCACAAAAUUGGGGCGGACGUCGGAUCUCAGCGGCGCCACCCGGCGGAGUCUCUGUUUUCUGUGGCAUUUCGUGCUGCUGGAUUCCUCCGCCCGGCCGCGCUAAUUUCCUGCCAUUGGGUGGAAGGGUGACUGUGGCGGAUCCCGGCUGAGUUCGCGACGGUGUAUCUGCGCUUCAGGUUCUGGUUGAUCUCGCGCGCGUUGGGAUGCAGAAUACUAGUACAUUCAAGACGGUGUAUGUGCCCUUUUGUUGCUCACAUUUACACUGAAAAAUAAUUACUUCCAUAACCUCGAAAACAUAGGGCAUGCUAUUUUACCUUCCCAUUUGCCAUCUUAAAGUUGAACGCCCUUGAUCAGUUCCUUAUUUUCUGUAUGCCGCUGAUUGAAAUGCCAGAGGAGUCCUGAUGCCAUCUUUCUUUUAAUUGAUUUUGGCUUUUGCUCUCAAGAAAGGAGCCUUUACUUAUUGAAAUACCGGCAAAAAGGGGGGCCGAAAUUUUGCCCAUUUAGGCAUAUCCAAUGUGAGAUUAUUUCCCACUUUCUAACUUUUGUAUUUAUUCCUGUAUGUAAUGUUCUUGCUUUCUUCAGGAAGAUUCUGUAUAGAUAUGGGUUUCAGGGAAAGAAGGGAAGCAUCUAUAAUUGAGCCAAAGGACUCUAAGCUGACUUAUCUAAAAUUCAUAUUUCUACUAUUAGUGUUUGUGCCAAUCAUGACGAUAAAAGAAAAAUAUGAACAGAAGAAAAUUUAGAAUUCUCUUGCCUUGCUAUUUGUGUCUGCAUUACCGGAAUCUAGGCAAUAUCUAGGCAAAAUUUAGAAUUCUUUUCAUCUUACCGGAAUCUAGGAAUUAUUUCAGAGGUAUCCACCAUCUGAGAAGGAAUGCCAGUCAUUUUCGCUGAUUUCGCAGGAUAGGUUACUGGACAUUUAGCUCUUUACAGGCUUCUCGUUUUAUGUUUAUCUCUGUUUUCCUGGAAAUUUUGUUUUUAACAAUUUUCUCUUGCUUUUUAUUUACAUAAGUUUAAUGCUUACAUGUUAUUAAAUCUUGCUCAAUGCUGUCACUCAGCAUAUGUAAAGACAAAGAUGAGGCCGGAGUGUGGUUUGUUGGGCUGAUUUCAUGCAGUCAUCAAAGAAAAUGGAGAACCGAAUCGACAAGUGAUACCAUUUCCUCUGCUGCAACUAGCCCAAGGACUUGUACGUGAUGGAGCUGUCCCUUGAGUUCUCUUUUCUGCAGCAAUGAUAUUGUCCACAAGGAUGGCAACAAAAACUACCGACUCCGUAGUCCGUUGUCCAUAUGAGAGUCCACCAAGGAAUGGCUUGUCGGAGGCCUUUUCUGAUGUUGCUUUGUAUGCAGUUUCUCCCAAGGGCUUCUUCCCAUCUGGUUCUAAAAAAAUGCAUAAUCGGUUCACUCUAUGUCUUCUGGAUACCCGGAUACCAUGCAUCGGCACCGGAGGUAUCCCAAUCAAUGCUCCUCUAGUCAGUUAUUCUGGUGUUGAUAGCUCAUCAAGUCAUGGUUCUGGUAAUGACGAUGGUGAUGCUUUUGAUGAUGCUUUAAUAUGGGGAGAAGAGACUAGGGACUAGGAAAGGAAUUCCUGGUGGUGGUAGUUCAAGGAUUGGGAGCUUCUCAGGUGCAGAUGUGCUUUGUCUUGGACCUAAACCCUUAGAGUUUGCUGUUUGUUUGGGCUUUUGCUUCUGCUUUUGCAGCUUUUUCACUUUGAUAAAAGAGCCACAAAAGCUUCUAAAUAGGGGAUUUUUGCUUCGUCUUUUGGCUUAUGAAUCAAUAUUGUUAUAUGAUGGUAUAAGACAAAAGCCGAAGAAAAAACACCUAGUUAAAAGUUCUUUUUUGUCUUUUUGCCAAAGUGGAAAAGCUGCAAAAGCACAAGCAAAGGCCCAAGCAAACAUGGCCAUGGCAGCUCUUGCCAUUUUUUUUACUGAUGCCGACAUGUUAUGGCCCGUAGACUGGGUUCGAGUCCUGGAUGGCAAUGGGUACCCAUUACCCACGUACCCUGCGGGUAAAAACCCUAUUAGGGUAAGGGUAUGGGACAAAAACAUACCCACGGGUAUAUAAA
This is a long non-coding RNA of Hordeum vulgare subsp. vulgare (domesticated barley), 2123 nucleotides long. RefSeq lists it as uncharacterized. The transcript has 2 exons. The record is from RefSeq and is a predicted model, not a curated record. Lineage: Eukaryota; Viridiplantae; Streptophyta; Magnoliopsida; Poales; Poaceae.